Molecule: long non-coding RNA, 361 nt
Filed under: Mytilus galloprovincialis (Mediterranean mussel)
Lineage: Eukaryota; Metazoa; Mollusca; Bivalvia; Mytilida; Mytilidae
Source: RNAcentral
AUUCAUUUGAAAUGUUUAUAGUUAUGAUAGUUGAUAAUUAAGCAGUGUGUACUGGAAAUUUUACAGGGUUUGUUUAAUGAAUCUUGAUAUAUAUAUUAUAAAAAAAAUGUCUACCAUUAACUGGCAAAUGUUUCAAUAUGGCGUAAUUUGAGUUUUAAUUGUCUCUAUUGGCUGUCAUUUUCAAGGGUUUAAGGAGGUACCUAACACUACAGGGAGAUAACUCUGUAAAGUCAGCUAAACGUUUUAAUUAUGUUUUGUUGUAAAGGGAAUGUUAAGCUUAUCAAUGAUCAAAAUUUGUGUUUGUCAAACUGCUAUAUAACCAGUGUAAUUUUUCUGACAAAACGGUUGGUUCAAAAUUUUU